Molecule: transfer RNA, 72 nt
Filed under: Marmota monax (woodchuck)
Lineage: Eukaryota; Metazoa; Chordata; Mammalia; Rodentia; Sciuridae
Rfam family: tRNA
About the family: Transfer RNA (tRNA) molecules are approximately 80 nucleotides in length. Their secondary structure includes four short double-helical elements and three loops (D, anti-codon, and T loops).
Source: Rfam by way of RNAcentral
UGGGGUUUGUCUCAGUGGUAGAGUACUCACCUCGAAUGUGUGUGGCCCUGGGUUCAAUCCUCAGCAUCAUAU